GAGAAGCAAAGCCGCGAGGUAGAGCAAAUCUCAAAAAAACAAUCUCAGUUCAGACUGCAGGCUGCAACUCGCCUGCACGAAGUCGGAAUUGCUAGUAAUCGUAGGUCAGCAUACUACGGUGAAUACGUUCCCGGGCCUUGUACACACCGCCCGUCAAACCAUGAGAGUUGGCAACACCCGAAGUCGGUAGUCUAACCGCAAGGAGGACGCCGCCGAAGGUGGGGUUGAUGAUUAGGGUUAAGUCGUAACAAGGUACC
This 257-nucleotide ribosomal RNA is filed under the name uncultured bacterium. RNAcentral describes it as "partial 16S ribosomal RNA". It matches the Rfam family "Bacterial small subunit ribosomal RNA", at positions 1244 to 1500 of the family's 1533-position model. The record is from RNAcentral.